RNAcentral lists this non-coding RNA (26 nucleotides) under Homo sapiens (human). The record is from RNAcentral. Lineage: Eukaryota; Metazoa; Chordata; Mammalia; Primates; Hominidae.
UAGCCAAGUUGGUGCUGUGGAAGGCC